AUGAAAAAAUAAGUCCCAGGUUGUGCAAAAGUGUUUAAAAUGUAUAUUUUUGAAUAUAUUAGUUUUAUUCAUGAUUAACUUUGUUUUUCUAGGUGAGGCGUUCAGAUGGAGGCUGAGAGUGAUGUCUGUGAGGAACAGGAGGAGCAGGCGAUGAUCUGGUCCAUCCAGGAGGCUCUGGAAAGGCAGACGCAGCAGAUCGGAGCGUCCGCCUGUGGAGCCACGGCUGUGGUGGAUGUGCUGAAGGCUCUGGGUGUCGACGUGGCCUUGGAGAAAGUGGAGCGGUGCGUGAAAACACGCCUGAGGAGGAACAAGUCUCCUCUACCUGACUAUCUGCUGUCCCGGAGCGAAGCUGGUGCGACCCAUGCUCAGCUCAUCCAGGGUGCUCAGGAGGCCAGCGAUGACAAGGUGAUGGGUCGAUUCUUUCAUCUCCACCCUCGUCGUCAGAUCCGACUCAGCUCCUGGCUGGCUAGCUGGAUUCGGCGCGGAGCCGUCCCCGUGGCAACAAUGAACAUGCAGCGGGCGGUACCCGAAGGCGAGGAAGUACCUGACGCCUGGCAUCACCAGCUUGUGUUUGGAGUCGCCACCGACACGGUUUACAUGACCAACCCGUUAGACGCAGGUGAGGAAACUGCUGUCGCUCUCUGGGUUAAACUGAGCGUUUAUUGUUGGAACUUUGUGUUGCAGUGAGUGAAGAGGAAUUGCACCAACGACUCUGUAGUGAAUCUGUGUUGCUGAUUCGUCGGGAAGACGUGCUGACGAGGCUGAGGCCCGACGGCUCCCUGUCCCAGUUCACUCAGCUUGACCCUCGGUGGAAGAGCCUGGACGUGGAAGGUAAAAAAAAAAAAAAAAAGACUUUUGCUGCGUUUCACUCCAGAGUUGUGAUCAUAUCUCACAGUUUACUUGUGUUUUCUCAGGUCAAGUGAGGAAGAUGGUGGAAGAAGGAGACACACACAUCACUAUUCCUGCUGCGUACAGCUCAGGCGUCACACUCUUUGCUCUACGACAGUCAGAAACAGCUCAGAAGCUCCUGGAAGCAUCAAAGCUUCCUCUGCUGUGAGUGCGACACGUUCGUGACUGAGGGGAUGAAACUUCUGAUUAUCAAAGCACAAGGACAGGAUUUAACAUUUCAGAGCUCCGUGAUGACUACGUAGUGUUUGUGCUGAUCACUCAAGGGGAGCACAGGUCAUCCCUGUUGUAAGACAAUAAUCAUUAUUGUGUCCCAACAAACACUGACCUUACAGCGUAACUAAACCUCAAGCCCACUUUUUUCUGCUGAAUACAUAUGAAUUAUACUCUUCACAUUUUAGUAAAAGUGUUUUCAUUUUGCGUAUUUAUUUGUAAAAAGUCAGAGUUACUGCCCUCUAAGGGUUGAAUGCUGGCUAUUACAACAGAAUUUUGCUAAUGGCUGAAAUUGAUUAUUUGGAUCCCCCUGCGUUGUCAACUUUCACCUCUGGCCCCACCCACUUUAGAAAAGCUGAGAGGAGGGAGGAGGGUUUCCUCCAGUCACAGCCCUCAGUGAACAUUGAUUGACAGCCUAACUGAGGAAGUCCACUGUGUUCCGUGUGAAACAGCCACCGUACCGGUGAUGUUUGUGCCUCUGUGCGUCUAUAAAGAGCAGAUUCUGUGCUAAUCAGAGUGUUCAUCAAGCUAUGUGUGUAUUUACAGACACACCUAUGCUAUGUGUGUA
Molecule: long non-coding RNA, 1687 nt
Organism: Gouania willdenowi (blunt-snouted clingfish)
Lineage: Eukaryota; Metazoa; Chordata; Actinopteri; Blenniiformes; Gobiesocidae
Source: Ensembl